CCUUCUUUUUCCCGCUUUUUUCGGAAUUAUUGGGCGUAAAGGGCGCGUAGGCGGCUUGUUAAGUCAGUUGUGAAAGCCCGGGGCUCAACCCCGGAGGGUCGACUGAUACUGGUAAGCUGGAGUACAGAAGAGGUAGCUGGAAUUCCCGGUGUAGCGGUGAAAUGCGUAGGUAUCGGGAGGAACCCCAGAGGCGAAGGCGGGCUACUGGGCUGAUACUGACGCUGAUGCGCGAAAGCUAGGGGAGCAAACAGGA
RNAcentral lists this ribosomal RNA (253 nucleotides) under uncultured prokaryote. RNAcentral's name for it is "partial 16S ribosomal RNA". It matches the Rfam family "Bacterial small subunit ribosomal RNA", at positions 525 to 777 of the family's 1533-position model. The record is from RNAcentral.